RNAcentral lists this long non-coding RNA (521 nucleotides) under Betta splendens (Siamese fighting fish). RNAcentral describes it as "lncRNA (ENSBSLG00000005272.1)". The record is from RNAcentral. Lineage: Eukaryota; Metazoa; Chordata; Actinopteri; Anabantiformes; Osphronemidae.
UGCUUUGUUUUUUGCUGCUUUGACCUGAUUAGUUUUCCUUUCUUCCCCUCUCUCCGUUUUCUCUGACCGGAGACAGACUUGAGCACAAAAGACAGGAGGAGAGCAUGGAGAUGCCGCUCAGAGGGGGUCUGCAGAGAUUCAAUGCUUCCAGUCUGAUCUCAGUUCCUCCAGUCAGCCAGUGGCAUGACCACUCGCCAGUGUGGUUUCAGUCGCAGGACAGCGGUGUUACUCCAAACUCUUCCCCAAGUCCCACCAGACGGUUUCGACCAGCAGUCAGUGCCACAGUGAGGUGGCCUGCGUUAACUCCACUGAAGAGGAAAGGUGGAGUGGAGUCUGACGGGCCCCCUAAGAAGCUCUUUGUUGCAGGUGUGACGGACCCCACUCAUGGCAGCAGCUACACUGUCAGUGUCUCUCAGUCGGUGGCAGACUCUCCUUCUGCAGGAGGCGUCAGUCCUCAGACUGCCCCUCUGUCUGUUUCUCCUCCCCCAUCCUUCACCUCCCACCAGCUCCCCAGACACUAA